UACGUAGGGGGCAAGCGUUGUCCGGAAUUAUUGGGCGUAAAGAGCGUGUAGGCGGUCCGGUAAGUCAGCUGUGAAAGUCAAGGGCUCAACCCUUGAAUGCCGGUUGAUACUGUCGGGCUAGAGUCCGGAAGAGGCGAGUGGAAUUCCCGGUGUAGCGGUGAAAUGCGUAGAGAUCAGGAAGAACAUCGGUGGCGAAGGCGCUCUGCUGGACCAUAACUGACACUCAGGGACGAAAGCUAGGGGAGCGAAUGGG
RNAcentral lists this ribosomal RNA (253 nucleotides) under uncultured bacterium. RNAcentral describes it as "partial 16S ribosomal RNA". It matches the Rfam family "Bacterial small subunit ribosomal RNA", at positions 524 to 776 of the family's 1533-position model. The record is from RNAcentral.